RNAcentral lists this small RNA (120 nucleotides) under Flavobacterium sp. CS20. RNAcentral describes it as "6S-Flavo RNA". It matches the Rfam family "6S-Flavo RNA". The record is from Rfam by way of RNAcentral. Lineage: Bacteria; Pseudomonadati; Bacteroidota; Flavobacteriia; Flavobacteriales; Flavobacteriaceae.
ACUCAACACUUUACAAUUAAAAAGGGUGAGUUUUGGUUGCUAAAACAUGCCGUUAUGUUUUACACAUUAGACGGAAGUUUGAUCAUCCAUGUAGCCCUAAUCCUGUUUUAUAAGGAGUUU